RNAcentral lists this ribosomal RNA (378 nucleotides) under uncultured bacterium. RNAcentral describes it as "bacterial SSU rRNA". It matches the Rfam family "Bacterial small subunit ribosomal RNA", at positions 523 to 898 of the family's 1533-position model. The record is from RNAcentral.
AGACGAACCGUGCGAACGUUAUUCGGAAUCACUGGGCUUAAAGCGCGUGUAGGCGGGACGGCACGUCGGUCGCUGAAAUCCCCCGGCUUAACCGGGGAACGGGCGCCGAUACGACCGCCCUCGAGGAACGUAGGGGGAGCUGGAACUUCCGGGGGAGCGGUGAAAUGCGUUGAGAUCGGAAGGAACGCCCGUGGCGAAAGCGAGCUCCUGGACGUUAUCUGACGCUGAGACGCGAAAGCCAGGGGAGCGAACGGGAUUAGAUACCCCGGUAGUCCUGGCCGUAAACGAUGGGCACUGGGUAGGGGGCUCGCCGAUGGGCUCCCUGCCGUAGGGAAACCGUGAAGUGCCCCGCCUGGGGAGUAUGGUCGCAAGGCUGAA